UGGCCGACUCCACCGCGAGGGCUCCGGUGCCGGUGUCACCACAAUAUGCAUUGACUUAGGGGUUCGAUUGCCUUCUCCCCUCCUCCCUUUCCUCUCUCUCCCUCGCUCCUCGCUCUUUGCCUACAUCAAUAUUACCAGGCUUCGGAGGGAGGCAGGACUCGCUUCCGACCUAAGCAUCCGCCGACCCCAUCCUCUGUCGAGUGGGAAACAACAAUGCAGAGACAGGGAGGCAGGGGGGAGAGGGUCGCCCGGAGGCGGCGGCGCGGCUGUGGCCGGCGGCGGGCCGGGUGCAGGAGGCGACGGCGGAGGUGGCGGGGUGGCGGCGCCUGUCAGCCGGGCACGGGCAGGGCGCGGGUCCCCAUGGCCCCGCGGAGGACGGCCCGCUCUCCCCGGCCAGGGGCACGCCGCGUCUCCGCUGCCCACGGACUGCGGCCGGAGGUCCGCCCGCGGGCGCCGGGCUCCGACUGCUGACGCCGCCUCCCCCGGACCUCGGGGCCGAAUCGCCUGCGCUGGGCCUCCCGAGAGCCACAGUCAUCUUCAGUCCCCGGCUAAGUUGCCGCCAUCUUCGUCCUGGAGAAGCACUUUUUGGGGGGGGAGCGCCGGCUCGUGCGUCAUCUCCUCCUCCCGCGCCGCGCUCGCUCCCUCCUGGCGCAUUGGCACCGGGCUCGGCCCGGCAGAGGGGGAGGCGAGGGCGCCGGGGGUCCGGGGUGGGCGGGGGGAGCCCGGCUGGGCCCGCAGGCCGGCCUGAGCGGCUGCGCGCUGACGCCUGCCCUGCCUUGCCGUCCGCCAGCCCACCCCUAGCCCCGCCACCUUUGGUUUUUUUCUGUUAUUACUGAUAAAAGUCAGACUGCGGACAGCAAGGUUUGAGGAUGCCUGCUGAAUUUCUUCGGCACCUCCUGCUCCCUCUCGGACUCCGAGAAAAAGUCCGAGUUGCGGCGGGUGGGCAGAGGCUUCUAGCGGGCGAGGGUCUGGAUGUUGCCGCCUUAACUAGACAAUGAGCGUGGGCUUCCGACGAAAGGCUGCGGGCACGGGAGGAAACCCGAAUUGGCUGGCGGGGGGCAGAGGAGGGACACCUGAUCUCUUUGCAUGUCUCGGGAUCCCUGGACAACUAAACAUCAACAGCUUCCAGUGUAUUAUCUUGUCAGAUGAUUUUAGUACAUGGCAGGGGUGAGGCGUGUGGCAUACAUCCUUAGCUGUAUGUAGGACAGCGACAUUUUUCAUAAAGUCAAAGAUUAGAAGUGGCCACAUAGAGUAUCAGAGAAAAAUACUAGGACCUCGCCUUCCAGCCUUCACUGACUAGCCCACCGUUUCGAGUUCCAAUCCUCCUGACCUCGGAGGAUUCCUCCUCCGAUCUGGAGCAUCCCAAGCUCUCGUGAACCCCACUCCGAAGACCUGCGCCCAGCCCCCACCGAGCUGGGCUCUGCCGUCGCCCAGGACUUCCGCAGCACCGUGCCGUCAGGCUGCCCUGACGGGUGGCAGCUGUAGCAAUCCGAGCCUCUGGUGCCCCUUAGCGUUGGCUCUUGGAGUUCCGAGAAGGAAAAGCCUGUCACGCUAGGAAAAUCAGGGGUCCUCUCGACCCCGCCUCAUGCGGGUCAGUGCUAUGGGCAAACAUCAGUCUCCUUUUAUGUGAAGACCGUGCUCACUCCGCCCCUCACGCCCACCGAAGCUGCGAGGGCAGGAGACGGAGCCGGUGCCGGCGCCUUCCCUGGGCGCGCGCCCGGAGCGCAGCAGAGGACGGCGGUGUGUUCCACUGAGCACUCACUGUGGCAAGCUCCUUCUCUGCUUUCGAAUGACUCUAACUAUUCAGUAGGGUGCACAUUGACAUGAGCAGUGUUAGUGUGCCAUCGCUCUAAGUAUGCUGAGAACCCAAAAGGACGGAUCGUCCGUAUUCAUAUUCUUUUUAGAGGUGCUGUGAGUGUUGACACCGGGGAGAAGUGGGUAUUUUUUAAAAAGCAAGUUGCAAAAGAUAAUUGGCAAGAUUCGACCAACUGGUCCUUUCUGUGGCAUAGUAGGGUAUAUAUUAAUACUAAAUUUUACCCAUGUUAAAUUGUAAGUUUCUAAAAACUCCGUGCAGUGGCCAUCAAGGCUUGGUGCAGUUUGACAGCUGGUUGAUCUAAAAGUGUCAUAUAAUGUUUGAGAAGACAACCUGUGUAAGUAUACCAUUCUGGUACUUUGGCUUUUAGCGUGCUGAAUUUUAACUCCAUAAAAGGUCUAGAAACUAAAAUAUAUACUUUCUAUGGCAGGUUUAUCCUUAUCUUAUAGCAUCUUUAAGCAAAUUUCCAGGUUCUGUUGAAAAUUUAACAUAAAAAAAACCCACUUUAUCUGAGCUUUGUAUAGAAAGCAGAAGCUGAGGAAAUAGUCUUUUCGAUUCUUCUCUUUUCAUAGUUUAAAUUAUUUUGACAUUGAAUAAAAUAUUUUUCUUUUAAAAUAUUUUUCUUUUU
RNAcentral lists this long non-coding RNA (2441 nucleotides) under Bos indicus x Bos taurus (hybrid cattle). RNAcentral describes it as "lncRNA (ENSBIXG00005024154.1)". Lineage: Eukaryota; Metazoa; Chordata; Mammalia; Artiodactyla; Bovidae. The record is from RNAcentral.